UACGUAGGUGGCAAGCGUUGUCCGGAUUUACUGGGCGUAAAGCGAACGCAGGCGGACCUUUAAGUAGGAAGUGAAAGGUUGGAGCUCAACUCUAACACUGCUCCCUAUACUGGAGGUCUUGAGUGCCGGAGAGGAAGACGGAACAAGGUGUGUAGCGGUGAAAUGCGUUGAUAUAACUUGGAACACCAAUGGCGAAAGCAGUCUUCUGGACGGAUACUGACGCUCAGGUUCGAAAGCCAAGGUAGCAAACAGG
This 253-nucleotide ribosomal RNA is filed under the name uncultured bacterium. Its description in RNAcentral is "partial 16S ribosomal RNA". It matches the Rfam family "Bacterial small subunit ribosomal RNA", at positions 524 to 776 of the family's 1533-position model. The record is from RNAcentral.